CAAGACUCAGGAGAAAAUAAUGAAAGAAACCUGCCUGUGCACAGCAAUUGUCUGAAGCAUUGGUAAACACAGGGAAAACCUUCUGGAAGAAUGUGGGAGAGCAUCUGUGAGUCCUGCAAGGGGGCUGCAACCUCCCAGGGUCAGUGAUGGAGGCAACAGCAGCCGCGUUUGGCUGAAAUCACAGAGAUCAAUACAUUGAAAGAGCCCGCAGCAGAAUCAAGAGCAGACAAGAGGGCAUUGCGAAAAUCUGUCACUUGAAAAGAGCUGAAGCAGAUAGAUCUGAAGCUAAUGUGCAGCACCCUGUGCCUUGCCUGGUGUUUGAGGUGGGAAUCCUGCUGUGGGACAUCUGUGUCCUUCCCAUGGAGGGUCCCAGAGGAACUUCCCAGGCCUCU
Non-coding RNA from Agelaius phoeniceus (red-winged blackbird), 392 nucleotides. The record is from RefSeq and is a predicted model, not a curated record. NCBI's taxonomy places the organism in Eukaryota, Metazoa, Chordata, Aves, Passeriformes, Icteridae.